This 411-nucleotide ribosomal RNA is filed under the name Triticum aestivum (bread wheat). RNAcentral describes it as "partial small subunit ribosomal RNA". The record is from RNAcentral. Lineage: Eukaryota; Viridiplantae; Streptophyta; Magnoliopsida; Poales; Poaceae.
AUGAUCGAGCUCGUCGCAAGUAGCAGUCCAUGGCUGCCAUCUUCCACUUUCCGCUGCCUAGGUCCUUUCCUAUGGAGCUGCAAGGUUUCUCCUCUUCUCCCUCCCAUGCUCUCUCUCAUUGUCUGUGUUCAUGUGUACUGCUGCUUCAAUUUCUUUGUGAUGCAAAUGUUGAACAUUUUGUUUAGUAAAAAGCUACAAAAAAAAUCAGUUUUUCUCGUUGCGAAAAUUUCUGAAUUUUGCUCUGGUCUAUCAGUUCGACAUGUAUUCUACUUCAGUUCAAUAAGUCAUUUCAGUUUAGUACGUCGGAGUAUCAUGUACGUCGGUUUAGUUCAGUACGAAAACAUUAGAGAUUCAACAAACAUAAUCAUGUCGCACAAGUUCAAGUAUAGGUAUAGAAGUUUCUCACCAUAA